RNAcentral lists this ribosomal RNA (500 nucleotides) under uncultured Glomeromycotina. Its description in RNAcentral is "partial small subunit ribosomal RNA". It matches the Rfam family "Eukaryotic small subunit ribosomal RNA", at positions 591 to 1092 of the family's 1831-position model. The record is from RNAcentral. Lineage: Eukaryota; Fungi; Glomeromycota.
CCAAUAGCGUAUAUUAAAGUUGUUGCAGUUAAAAAGCUCGCAGUUGAACUUCGGGAUCAAUGGAUCGGUCAUGCCCUCGGUAUGUACUGGUCUUAUUGGUUCUCACCUUCUAAGGAACCAUGAUGUCAUUCAUUUGAUGUUAUGGGAAAUUAGGACUGUUACCUUGAAAAAAUUAGAGUGUUUAAAGCAGGCUUACGCUUGAAUACAUUAGCAUGGAAUAAUGAAAAAGGACAUCGCAUUCUAUUUUGUUGGUUUCUAGGAUCGAUGUAAUGAUUAAUAGGGAUAGUUGGGGGCAUUAGUAUUCAAUUGUCAGAGGUGAAAUUCUUGGAUUUAUUGAAGACUAACUACUGCGAAAGCAUUUGCCAAGGAUGUUUUCAUUAAUCAAGAACGAAAGUUAGGGGAUCGAAGACGAUCAGAUACCGUCGUAGUCUUAACCAUAAACUAUGCCGACUAGGGAUCGGAUGAUGUUGAUUUUAUAAUGACUCAUUCGGCACCUUACG